RNAcentral lists this ribosomal RNA (420 nucleotides) under uncultured bacterium. RNAcentral describes it as "bacterial SSU rRNA". It matches the Rfam family "Bacterial small subunit ribosomal RNA", at positions 361 to 773 of the family's 1533-position model. The record is from RNAcentral.
AUUUUGGACAAUGGGCGCAAGCCUGAUCCAGCCAUGCCGCGUGAGUGAAGAAGGCCUUCGGGUUGUAAAGCUCUUUCGGCGGAGACGAAAAGGUCCGAGUCAAUACCUCGGAUCCAUGACGGUCCCCGCAGAAGAAGCACCGGCUAACUACGUGCCAGCAGCCGCGGUAAUACGUAGGGUGCAGGCGUUAAUCGGAAUUACUGGGCGUAAAGCGUGCGCAGGCGGUCUUUUAAGUCAGAUGUGAAAUCCCCGGGCUUAACCUGGGAACUGCGUUUGAAACUGAAAGGCUAGAGUGUGGCAGAGGGGGGUGGAAUUCCACGUGUAGCAGUGAAAUGCGUAGAGAUGUGGAGGAACACCGAUGGCGAAGGCAGCCCCCUGGGCUAACACUGACGCUCAUGCACGAAAGCGUGGGGAGCAAAC